RNAcentral lists this transfer RNA (81 nucleotides) under Paragonimus westermani. Its description in RNAcentral is "tRNA-Leu". It matches the Rfam family "tRNA". From Rfam's summary of the family: Transfer RNA (tRNA) molecules are approximately 80 nucleotides in length. The record is from RNAcentral. Lineage: Eukaryota; Metazoa; Platyhelminthes; Trematoda; Plagiorchiida; Troglotrematidae.
GGCUUCGUAAUUCAGCUGGUAGAGCGCCUGCCGCAUUGAGGCAUGCUGUGUCUGUCGCUGGUUCGAAUCCAGUCGAAGCCC